AAUUUAGAGAGUUUGAUCCUGGCUCAGGACGAACGCUGGCGGCGUGCCUAACACAUGCAAGUCGAACGGGAAUACACGAGAUACUGAGAUUAGCUUGCUAAAGGAAGUAACAUGUGUAUUUUAGUGGCGGACGGGUGAGUAACGCGUGAGCAACCUGCCUUACAGAGGGGGACAACAGUUGGAAACGACUGCUAAUACCGCAUAAC
This 206-nucleotide ribosomal RNA is filed under the name bacterium. RNAcentral describes it as "partial 16S ribosomal RNA". It matches the Rfam family "Bacterial small subunit ribosomal RNA", at positions 1 to 177 of the family's 1533-position model. The record is from RNAcentral.